This 448-nucleotide ribosomal RNA is filed under the name uncultured bacterium. Its description in RNAcentral is "partial 16S ribosomal RNA". It matches the Rfam family "Bacterial small subunit ribosomal RNA", at positions 330 to 792 of the family's 1533-position model. The record is from RNAcentral.
UCCAGACUCCUACGGGAGGCAGCAGUGGGGAAUAUUGGGCAAUGGGCGCAAGCCUGACCCAGCAACGCCGCGUGAAGGAAGAAGGCUUUCGGGUUGUAAACUUCUUUUAUUGAGGACGAAACAAAUGACGGUACUCAAUGAAUAAGCCACAGCUAACUACGUGCCAGCAGCCGCGGUAAUACGUAGGUGGCAAGCGUUAUCCGGAUUUACUGGGUGUAAAGGGCGUGUAGGCGGGACUGCAAGUCAGAUGUGAAACCCAUGGGCUCAACCCAUGGCCUGCAUUUGAAACUGUAGUCCUUGAGUGAUGGAGAGGCAGGCGGAAUUCCGUGUGUAGCGGUGAAAUGCGUAGAUAUAAGGAAGAACACCAGUGGCGAAGGCGGAUGACUGGACGGCAACUGACGGUGAGGCGCGAAAGCGUGGGGAGCAAACAGGAUUAGAUACCCUCGUA